Molecule: long non-coding RNA, 963 nt
Filed under: Marmota monax (woodchuck)
Lineage: Eukaryota; Metazoa; Chordata; Mammalia; Rodentia; Sciuridae
Source: RNAcentral
UGAUCAUCUUCAAACUACUCGCUCCCAGUGCUUGGUUAUUUUAUUUGGGUAGGUCACCAAGCAGAUACUAUAAGGUAAUGGGGAAAAUGUUGUAAUGAUUAUUAUUAAUAGACUAUUUGAUGAUCUCUAGAUAGAAUAUUUUAAUUUUUGGUGGCACUGUAAGUCACAAGGACCUCUUUCUACAUUAUGUAGGCAUGUGGGGGCCAACACUGCCAUCUCAUGAUACUUUUAUAGCUUUAUAAUGCUUUGUAGUUUUCCACUUUACUCUUUGUAAAUUAUUCGUUGUGCAUGUGUCCACAGAGGAAUCACUGUCCAUGAAUCUCCCUGCAUAAAUUUCUCUGUUUACUCAUUCUGUGUUGAUUAGUCAAUUCCUGUGGAAGGUUGAAAGAUGAGCCUGCUGCAGUCAAAACCUUUGUUUCCUGUAGGGAUAAGUAAUUAACUGUAGUUCUAUUCUAGGUCCUGUCACAUAAUGUGAAGGUCAAUUUCACGUAUCAACUUGACUAGGCUGAGAGAUGCCCACAUAGGUGAUAAGACAUUAUUUCUGGGUGCACCUGCAAUGGUGUUUUCAGAAAAGAUUAGCAUUUGGAUUAGUAAAGAGGAUAAUCCUUACCAAAGUGGGCAGUCAUUAUCCAAAGGAAGGGUGAAUUUUUUUCUCUCUGUUUGGGACAUCCAUCUUACCUGGGAUUUCUAGGCUCCUGGUUCUAUACCAUACAAUUUCUCUGGAACUUAAGCUGUAGCCCCUCCACCUACCCAGACCUUCAGACUUGACAGAAUUACACUACUGAUUUCCUUGCUUGUCUAGAUUGCAGAGAUCAUGGGCUUUUCCUUCUCCAAAAAUAUGUGAGGCAAUUUCUGUCUUAAAAAAUGUUUGUCUGUGUACAUAUACUACACACACACACACACACACACACACACACACAUUCUCUGUAUACAUGUAUAUUCUGUUUCUGUGGAGAACCCUAU